AGUCGCGUGGUCUAAUGGUUAUGAUUUCUCGUUCACAUUGAUGUGUGCAAAGUUCCGAGAAGGUUCCGUGUUCGAUCCACGGCGUGACUA
RNAcentral lists this transfer RNA (90 nucleotides) under Daldinia vernicosa. Its description in RNAcentral is "tRNA-Val". Lineage: Eukaryota; Fungi; Ascomycota; Sordariomycetes; Xylariales; Hypoxylaceae. The record is from RNAcentral.